GACGAACGCUGGCGGCGCGCUUAACACAUGCAAGUCGAACGGAAAGGCCUGCUUUCCCUUGUGGAUUGCAGGUACUCGAGUGGCAAACGGGUGAGUAACACGUGAGUGAUCUGCCCCCAACUUGGGUAUAAGCCUGGGAAACUGGGUCUAAUUCCCGAUAGGACUGCAGGGUGGUGCCUGUGGUGGAAAACGAUUUUCUAGUGGUUGGGGAUGAGCUCGCGGCCUAUCAGCUUGUUGGUGGGGUAAUGGCCUACCAAGGCGGCGACGGGUAGCCGGCCUGAGAGGGUGGACGGCCACAUUGGGACUGAGAUACGGCCCAGACUCCUACGGGAGGCAGCAGUGGGGAAUAUUGCACAAUGGGCGGAAGCCUGAUGCAGCGACGCCGCGUGGGGGAUGACGGCCUUCGGGUUGUAAACUCCUUUCGACCGCGAGGAAGCCACCUGGUUGGAAGGGUGGUGACGGUAGUGGUAGAAGAAGCACCGGCUAACUACGUG
RNAcentral lists this ribosomal RNA (494 nucleotides) under uncultured bacterium. RNAcentral describes it as "partial 16S ribosomal RNA". It matches the Rfam family "Bacterial small subunit ribosomal RNA", at positions 28 to 507 of the family's 1533-position model. The record is from RNAcentral.